UUUCCGUAGGUGAACCUGCGGAAGGAUCAUUACAGAGUUGUCGACACGAGCUGUUGCUGGUCCUCAAACGAGGGCAUGUUCACGCUCUGUUCACACAUCCACUCACACCUGUGCACCCUCUGUAGUUCUACGGUCUGGGGGACAUGCCGUCUUCCUCCCGUGGUUCUAGGUCUUUACACAUACGCCGUAGCGAAGUCUUAUGGAAUGUACCCUGCGUUUAACGCGAUAUAAUACAACUUUCAGCAACGGAUCUCUUGGCUCUC
Molecule: unclassified non-coding RNA, 263 nt
Filed under: plant metagenome
Description: partial contains small subunit ribosomal RNA, internal transcribed spacer 1, and 5.8S ribosomal RNA
Source: RNAcentral